Molecule: small nuclear RNA, 193 nt
Organism: Hyla sarda
Lineage: Eukaryota; Metazoa; Chordata; Amphibia; Anura; Hylidae
Product: U2 spliceosomal RNA
Exons: 1
Source: RefSeq, a predicted model, not a curated record
UUCACUUCUUGGCCUUUUGGCUAAGAUCAAGUGUAGUAUCUGUUCUUAUGAGUUCUGAUCGGUCAAUAGUUGACCGGUAGGUACGAUAGAAUGGUGCUACAUUAGGGGGCAGGUGUACCAGGGCUUUCCAGGGCCAUACCUCGAUGGGACCUGCACCCUCCCGGUCUGGUUAUUGGGCCAGGGAGGGGUCUAG